Molecule: long non-coding RNA, 842 nt
Organism: Cucurbita moschata (crookneck pumpkin)
Lineage: Eukaryota; Viridiplantae; Streptophyta; Magnoliopsida; Cucurbitales; Cucurbitaceae
Exons: 3
Source: RefSeq, a predicted model, not a curated record
GUAAGUAAUGUUUUGUUAAUUAGAUUUCUAGUCUCUUUGGGAUGAUUUUUCAACUUUUUUUGUAGAUUCUUUUUUAUGCUCGCAGCAAGGCAUUUGAAAUAGGUGUUGACUGUUCUGUUUUUAUUAACAAUUAUGUUCUACAUUGUGUAUCUUUGUGUGCGAGUGGAGCCAUAUAAACAGGUUAGAUGUUACAGUGCUUGGAGGGACUGAUUAUGAUCAUUAUGAUCAUAUGGCUGAUUGGCUAUUAGUUUUUGAAGCCUGAUUCGCUAACAGAGCUUCUAAUGUAUGAUCAUCACUGACAUUCCGUACUUCUUGAAAAUGGAUUUAUAAUAUAGUUAGGGGCAGGCAGGGCAUUCUGUCUCUUACAAUUGUUUCAAAGUUAUGCUUUUGAUCUCAGUAGCAAAGCAGCUUUACCGACAAGUUAAACGAGGAUGCAAAUUAUAUAGCAGCAGUGGUUGGGGAGUUAUUGGUAAAACGUUAGGAGGUUCUCCAUGCAUGGCAGCUCCCUGCCAUCGAACAACAAGUUUUGCCUCUUCGUCUUAAAAAGGCCUUGGGUGGUAAUCGAACUUGACUUCAGAAGUUGGUGUGAUGAGUCGCCGUAAGAUGUUCUAGCAUUCCCUCUCCGGAAUCUGUCCAUCAAUACCACACGGAGCUCAUUGGAGAACACAGUACAAUACUAACAGUCAAGAAAACGAGGGUCGCACUCCUAACUUAAACAACGGAGCGUGGUAGUCCACGUAUAGAUCUAAGGCAGGUCAGCUCCAAGUUGUCUGCUGCAGCUAAAGAUGCUGAUUUGCUUGCCAUGAUGAACAAUCAGAUGAUUAAAGGAAACAUUUGUAACU